Molecule: long non-coding RNA, 271 nt
Filed under: Chinchilla lanigera (long-tailed chinchilla)
Lineage: Eukaryota; Metazoa; Chordata; Mammalia; Rodentia; Chinchillidae
Description: lncRNA (ENSCLAG00000023549.1)
Source: RNAcentral
GUUGUUUGUAGAGGUCAUAAUUUCUCUAUAAGACAUCACAGAGACUGUAAGACAUCUGGAUCAUGGGCCUCAGUACCUGUAGCCUGGGAUUCUUCUGGCAGUUUUGAAGUGAAGGAUAAGUCCCUUCUCCAGGGAAGAGAACUCAAAUCCUGUACCAUGGCUGCAUUUCUCUGAAGAGUGAAGAAGCACAGGAAGCAGGUCCAGAUUUUUAAAGGAGGUGGUAGAAAGCACAUCCUCUCCUAUACUUGCACCUUUCAGAUUAAAUUUUUAU